CAGCCGCCGCGGUAAUACGGAGGAUCCAAGCGUUAUCCGGAAUCAUUGGGUUUAAAGGGUACGUAGGCGGUCUUGUAAGUCAGUGGUGAAAGCCCAUCGCUCAACGGUGGAACGGCCAUUGAUACUGCAGGACUUGAAUUAUUGGGAAGUAACUAGAAUAUGUAGUGUAGCGGUGAAAUGCUUAGAGAUUACAUGGAAUACCAAUUGCGAAGGCAGGUUACUACCAAUUGAUUGACGCUGAUGGACGAAAGCGUGGGUAGCGAACAGGAUUAGAUACCCGUGUAGUCCCUGUCUCUUAUAC
RNAcentral lists this ribosomal RNA (301 nucleotides) under uncultured bacterium. RNAcentral's name for it is "partial 16S ribosomal RNA". It matches the Rfam family "Bacterial small subunit ribosomal RNA", at positions 509 to 807 of the family's 1533-position model. The record is from RNAcentral.